This is a long non-coding RNA of Cavia porcellus (domestic guinea pig), 1176 nucleotides long. RefSeq lists it as uncharacterized. The record is from RefSeq and is a predicted model, not a curated record. The transcript is spliced from 3 exons. Lineage: Eukaryota; Metazoa; Chordata; Mammalia; Rodentia; Caviidae.
CUCGGCUGCGAUCAUGUAGACAAUUGUAAAUCAUGUGAAGAUGGGACUCCUGGUAUUUGUGCGCAAUCUGCUGCUAGCCCUCUGCCUCUUUCUGGUACUGGGAUUUUUGUAUUAUUCUGCGUGGAAGCUGCACUUACUCCAAUGGGAAGACUCCAGUGAAGCAGUUUUUCUCCACCACAGUCUUCCAUCAUGAUUUUUCUGCCUCAGAGCCAGCUGACCAUGGAGUGAACUCCCUGAACUGUGAGCCAAAUAAACCUUUUAAAUUUUGUUAAGUGUUGGGUGUUUUGUCCCAGUGAUAGGAAAAUGACUAAUACAGUGUGUUCACUAGCUUAGUUGUGACAGUUUCACAGAUUAAUGUACGUAUGUUACAGAUACUGAUGAAUACAUCAAAAUUCACCAAGUCUAUACACUUUGGAUAGGGGCAAUUUAUGUUAUUAUAAUUUGGUAAAAAUAGCCAGGGAAAAAUAAUACCUUCAAAAGGACAACAAUUAGAUGGGUAAUUGGCUUCUGAAGAGUAGCAAUAAAAACUGGAAGUCAGUGAACUGUUUUUAUUAUUUUUAAAGAAAACAGCUGUCAGCUGGAAUCUGUACGUGCCAUGAAACCAUCUUUUGAGAAUGAGGCAGAUACUGAAGAAAAUUCACUACCAGCAAAAGGACCUUCAAAGGAAGGUACAGGAAGGAAUGAUAAACUGGUAAACCUUUGAGUAAACCUGCAUAAUAUUGGCUGUAUGCCACAAAAGGCAGUAUUACUCAGUUAGCAUCUGGCAUCAUAAAAGCCAAGAGAUGGAGCUAUACUACUAGUUGGUGAUAGAAUGUAAAUGAAGAAGUCAGGGAUACAGUGGGACGUACUUUACUUGUAAUUUCAGCACUCUGAGAGGUUGAGGCAGAAGGGUCCCAUGUUGGAACUCAGCUUGAGUGUUAUCGUUUGGACCAGAAGUGUUCCCCAGACAUCUUAAGGUUUCAGAGCGGGGCGUCUGGAAGCAGUGACUAGGUCAUGGUGUGCUAUAACUUCUGAAUGGAUUGUGGGCUAAUCCACUGAUGAGUUUACAGCUGACUGUGCUGUUAUGUGGUGGCACCUGGAAGAGGUUGUGACCUGGAAGGGAAUAUCUCCCUUCCUGCUUCUCCUUUUGCUAGGGAUGUCAUGACAUCAUGGACUGUCAUCAUGAGCCAAAAUAAA